This 419-nucleotide long non-coding RNA is filed under the name Rhinopithecus roxellana (golden snub-nosed monkey). RNAcentral describes it as "lncRNA (ENSRROG00000046082.1)". Lineage: Eukaryota; Metazoa; Chordata; Mammalia; Primates; Cercopithecidae. The record is from RNAcentral.
UAUUUUAUAGUUAAGUAUCUUCUCCCUUAUAAUAGGGGAUUCCUUUUCCUCAAGAGAGGACUGUAUUUUCUCCCCAAAUCUGAGAUGCUUCAGAUCUCCAAAGCUGAAUAUGCUGUAUAGUCAGCUUGUGGAAGCACUGAGUAACAACGAGGGCCCAGUUUUUCAUGAACAUGGCUACUGGAGCAAGUCAGAUUAGGCAAGCUCACGGCCACAUGAAGAAGAUACGUUGUCCUGAGAUGCUGACUGUUUAAAUUUUUGCCAGAGUUUCUCUUGAGGUUUUGUUUCUGUUUCCUCAGACCCUGUUUUCAUGUUGUUGAAUAAACUUUCUAAAAUAAAAGCAUGUUGAAUUUACCUUGGUGACCAGCUCAUUUCUGGGGGACAAACGAAUUUUCCAAAGUGCUAAGGAUGAUAUUGAAACA